GGAAUUUUCCGCAAUGGGCGAAAGCCUGACGGAGCAACGCCGCGUGAGGGAUGAAGGCCUCUGGGCUGUAAACCUCUUUUAUCAAGGAAGAAGAUCUGACGGUACUUGAUGAAUAAGCCACGGCUAAUUCCGUGCCAGCAGCCGCGGUAAUACGGAGGAUGCAAGCGUUAUCCGGAAUCAUUGGGCGUAAAGCGUCCGCAGGUGGUUCAUCAAGUCUGCCGUUAAAGACAGAAGCUUAACUUCUGAGAGGCGGUGGAAACUGGUGAACUAGAGUACGGUAGGGGUUGAGGGAAUUCCCAGUAUAGCGGUGAAAUGCGUAGAUAUUGGGAAGAACACCAGUGGCGAAGGCGCUCGACUGGGCCGUAACUGACACUCAGGGACGAAAGCUAGGGUAGCGAAAGGGAUUAGAUACCCCAGUAGUC
This 422-nucleotide ribosomal RNA is filed under the name uncultured cyanobacterium. RNAcentral describes it as "bacterial SSU rRNA". It matches the Rfam family "Bacterial small subunit ribosomal RNA", at positions 358 to 795 of the family's 1533-position model. Lineage: Bacteria; Bacillati; Cyanobacteriota. The record is from RNAcentral.